RNAcentral lists this long non-coding RNA (575 nucleotides) under Marmota monax (woodchuck). Lineage: Eukaryota; Metazoa; Chordata; Mammalia; Rodentia; Sciuridae. The record is from RNAcentral.
GAGAAAAUGAGAAUAAAACAAUAGUAGCUUUAGAGUGGUAUUAACCAAGGCUAUUUUAUCAAGUAGAGUGAUAUUGUAUGCUGCCUCUUGGCAUACAUUUUGGUGUUUAUCAAUUCAUAGACCAGUGUUUUUCAUACACGUUCUGAAAUUAAUUCGUUAAGUUUCUGCCCCCUACCCCUUACAGAAACAGAAUAGAACAGAAAGUUUCAUGAAUGUAUCACCUGAUAUAGUUUUUUUAAAACUUCUGUUUCAAGGGUAGGCAUUGGUACUGGAUUGGACAGAUGUUCUUGUAAUGAGUAACUGGAAAGCUGUGUGGAACUCAGGUCUUAUAAAUCCAUGUUGCCAAACUGAUGUCAGCUACAAAAGCUACAAAAGCCUGUAGAUAGCCAUCACAAGUAUUAUCAAAUCAGUGGUCUUCUUUCUGAUGGUAGGGAAUAGUUAAUUAGCUAUGAAACCUAUGUUUUUGUUGUUUUAUUAUUUUGUGAGUAUGUGUGUAUUGUUUGUUUGCCCUGGUAAACAUGUAAAGGUUUAUAAUUAAGAAUUUACAAUAAUCCAGCCAGGCACAUGCCAUAAUC